Molecule: ribosomal RNA, 481 nt
Filed under: Culmenella sp. TS-2018
Lineage: Eukaryota; Metazoa; Mollusca; Gastropoda; Planorbidae
Description: partial 16S ribosomal RNA
Rfam family: Bacterial large subunit ribosomal RNA
Source: RNAcentral
UCGCCUGUUUUUCAAAAACAUAGUUUAAAGAAAUUAUUUUAAAUUAAUCCUGCCCAGUGUUAAAAAUAAAUGGCCGCAGUACCUUGACUGUGCUAAGGUAGCAUAAUCAAUUGGCUUUUAAUUAAAGUCUGGAAUGAAUGGAUAAAUGAAGUCUUUCUGUCUUAUAGGUAUUUAUUUGAAUUUAUUUAUUAGGUGAAAAUACCUAAAUUUAUGAAAAAAGACGAGAAGACCCUUAGAAUUUUUAAAAAUAAUUGAUUAACAAUUUAAUUUUUUUGUUGGGGCGACAAAUAAGCAUUUGAACCUUAUUUAAAAAUUAUUUGACGAAUAUUUUAAGAAAAAUUAAAUUACCUUAGGGAUAACAGCAUAAUUAAUUAUUUAGUUUGUGACCUCGAUGUUGGACUAAGAACUUUAUGACUAGCAGUCAAAAAAGAUUUGUUCUGUUCGAACAAUUUUAUCUUACGUGAUCUGAUUCCAAACCGGC